This is an RNA transcript of Sarcophilus harrisii (Tasmanian devil), 2102 nucleotides long. It is a transcript of the gene named actin, cytoplasmic 1-like, with no coding region annotated. The record is from RefSeq and is a predicted model, not a curated record. NCBI's taxonomy places the organism in Eukaryota, Metazoa, Chordata, Mammalia, Dasyuromorphia, Dasyuridae. The transcript has a single exon.
GUGUUAGCACAGAAUAAUAAUAAUGACAUUUGUAGCUGUGAGCUCUUCUAUCCAGCAUGCACAUGCCUCCCCCCUGCCUCCAGGUACGGUACCACCUCCUGUCUCUCUUAAAGGUUUAAACUUGCCACUUCAAAGUUCCCCAUGGAUGAUGAUAUUGCUGCUUGCCAUUGACAAUGGCUCUGAAAUGUGCAAAGCUGGCUUUGCAGGAGAUGAUGCCCCUUGGGCUAUGUUCCCUUCCAUUACUGGGUGCCCCAAACAUCAGGGUGUGAUAAUGGGCAUGGGCCAGAAAAACAGCUAUGUGGGGGAUGAGACCCAGAGCAAGAGAGGUAUUCUGACCCUGAAGUAUCCCAUUGAACAUGGUAUUGUCACCAACUGAGAUAACAUGGAGAAGAUCUGGCAUCACACUUUCUACAGUGAGUUCCAUGUGAUCCCUGAGGAACACUCUGUGCUGCUCACAGAAGCUCCCCUGAACCUCAAAGCCAACAAAGAAAAGAUGACUCAGAUUAUGUUUGAGACCUUCAACACUCCAGCCAUGCAUGUCACCAUCCAGCCUAUGCUGUCCCUGUAUGGCUUUGGUUGUACCACUGGUAUUGUGAUGGACUCCAGUGAUGGUGUGACUCACACUGUGCCCAUCUAUGAAAGUUAUGCCCUUCCCCAUGCCAUCCUCCAUCUGGAUCUGGCUGGCCAUGAUCUGAUGGACUACCUCAUGAAGAUCCUGAGCGAGAGAGGGUACAGCUUCACUAACACAACUGAGAGGGAAAUUGUACAUAACAUCAAGGAGAAGCUGUUAUGUCACCCUAGACUUUGAACAGGAAAUGGCCACUGCGGCAUCUAGCUCCUCUCUGGAAAAGAGCUACGAGUUUCCUGAUGAUCAAGUUAUCACCAUUGGCAACAAGCGGUUCUAAUGCCCAGAAGCUCUCUUCCAACCAUCUUUCUUAGGUAUGGAAACCACGAAACUACCUUCAACUCCAACAUGAAGUGUGAUGUUGACAUCCGUAAAGAUCUGUAUGGUAAUACUGCAUUGUCUGGUGGUACCACCAUGUACCCAGGCAUUGCUGACAGGAUACAAAAGGAGAUUACAGCACUAGCCCUCAGCACAAUGAAAAUCAAGAUCAUUGCUCCACCUGAGCACAAAUACUGUCUGGAUUGGAGGUUCCAUCCUGGCCUCUCUUUCCACUGUCCAGCAGAUGUGUAUCAGCAAGUAGGAAUAUGAUGAAUCUGGGCCCUCCAUUGUCCACUGCAAAUGCUUCUAAAUAGACUAUGUUUUGUUUUUUUGGUUUUGGGGGGGGGGGUUUGGUUGAUUUUUUUUUCAAAGGAUAUGACAUGAUAACUGCCCAAAAGAGAUGAGAUUGGUAUGGCUUUAUUUGUUUUGUUUUGGUUUUGGUUUUGGUUGUUUUGACGCUUGACUCAGGAUUUAAAAACUGGAAUGGUGAAGGUGAUGAGCAGUCUAAGUAUAUUUGAGGCAAACAUUGUAAGGGUCCUUUAAAUGGGCCAGCACAGAGCCACGGGAGGUUUGAGUGGCCUGUAAGUAAUUUUCUCUGGCUAGGGACUGCCUCAUGGGCAGGACUCUUGUCAUAUCGCCAUAGCUUCGUAAGAGAAGAUGGCUCCCUCUCUGUUUGGCUGUGUGUGUGACCUCACAGACCCUUUUUAAGCCCACCACAGCGGGAGGUCGGUCUCUUUAUCCUGGGGUCGCUGAGCCAAGCUGAUGGAUAGCCAAGAGAGGUAAAGAGCUUGAUAGUGAACAUGUGAGUCUCUCACAGACCAAGUGUUCACUUGGGAGUUAACAAGUCAGGGCAUUAUGUGAGCAAAUAUAAUAAAGACUUUAAAUUUGCACAUGGCUGUCCUUGAGCACGCUAUUGGUUAUUAAACUACAAUUCAAGAAAACGUAGGCAGAGAUCUCUGAAGGCCUCAGAGGAGGCAGCCAGGUAGAAUUAGUUGACACUGCAAAGGUCAGUAGCCAGAGGUUCUCUGAUGCCCUGGGAAUUAGAAGAGACUGGCAAUGCUAGGACUUUCGCAAAUGAAGUGACUGUUCAGGGUUAAGUAAUAAACGAUAUUUUACAAAACAUCCCCAAAGUUCUACAGUGUGUGUUCAGGACUUUGAU